Non-coding RNA from Ciona intestinalis (vase tunicate), 533 nucleotides. The record is from RefSeq and is a predicted model, not a curated record. NCBI's taxonomy places the organism in Eukaryota, Metazoa, Chordata, Ascidiacea, Phlebobranchia, Cionidae.
UAUGAUUGGGUGACUUGCAAACUUUGGGUCAAAAUUUAUGCGACAGAUUGUGCGGUUACUUUGUGCAGCAAAAAUUGUCUUUAUUGUAAAUUUCACGGGUUUUUAGGUUCUAUCUAAAUUUCACGUUUUAAAUUUCUUUUUUUUGGUAAAAUACAAAAAAAACAUUAAAAUAAAUAAUAAAUUUAUACAAAUUCGGUAAAUAAAUAGAUUUAAAACAACAAAAUUUUAAACUGUUUCAUGUUGUUUCAAUUAGGAAAUGCACGGGAAGAGAUACGUAAUCCAACGACUGCUUGGUGCAUUGAGGCAACGUAUAGAGAUUGAGACGACAGCCAACCCACAACUCGAAAAUGGGGUAUGAUAUUAAAGCGUGGAGCAUUAGUGAGGUGUUGAGGUGUCACGAAAACAUGCGACAGGACCACCCAGGUUUCGGAACACCGUUGGAAUAUAUUGGGUGUGAGGGUCGCCUUAAGCUCUUAGCACGUCUGGAAUUUUGGUCCUUGAAAUAACACGGAAGGCAACGGUGUCGCACAGAU